Molecule: long non-coding RNA, 3878 nt
Organism: Capsicum annuum
Lineage: Eukaryota; Viridiplantae; Streptophyta; Magnoliopsida; Solanales; Solanaceae
Exons: 3
Source: RefSeq, a predicted model, not a curated record
AAUUCAUCAAAAUAUAGCGCUUAAUUUUCCUCCAUUUCAUUCCCAUCUUUACUUUCUCUCUCUACCUCUCCCACAGAAAACUCUAUUUCUCUCUCUAUACUUACAGAGAGGCCGCUGCAUGCUGAUGAUUCUAGAGGUACAUCAAUUCGAGGAGGUAAUUUAGUAAUAUCAAGUUUUUGCUGAGAGUAGUUCAAGGAUUGCUACAGAAGAAUUUCAAAGGAACUCUGACAAGUCCAUCACAGGUAGAGGGAGAAGAAGAAACUUUGCAUGAUUUGUCUGAUUCAAAUAACAAAGAUUAUUUUGAAUUGCUUAAAGAUGGAAGUGAAGAUUUGUAUGAAGAAUCCAAGUACUCAAAGUUGAAAUUUUUAUUAAAGCUUUAUCACAUAAAGUGCUUGUCUGGGUUAAGUGAUAAGGGAAUGACUAUGGUGCUAGAUUUACUCAGGGAUGCAUUUAAAUUUGCAAAGAUCCCUAUAUCUUUUUAUAAGGCUGAGAAAACCAUCAACUAGUUGUGUCUUGAUUAUAUCAAGAUAGAUGCUUACCCAAAUGAUUGCAUGUUGUACUGGGAAGAUGAUAUUAAUAUAGAAUCAUGUAAGCAUUAUCACACUUAUAGAUGUAAGCUUGAGAAGGAUAACGAUCUUGAUCAUGCUCCUAGUACAAGUAAGAAAUAAAAUAAGAAGAAAAAGAAGAAACAAAAGAAGCCUGCCAAAAUUUUGCGCUAUUUUUCAUUUAAACCAAGAUUACAAAGAUUGUUUAUGUACUCCAAAAUUGCAGAGCAUAUGAGAUGGCAUGCAGAGGAUGAUAACAAAGAUGAGAUCUUAAGGCACCCUCGAGAUGGUGAAUUAUGGAAAAGGUUUGAUACAAAAUAUCCUGAAUUUACUUCUGAUCCUCGAAAUGUUCGAUUAAGACUAGCUACUGAUGGUUUUAAUUCUUUUGGAACAAUGAGUACUAACUAUAGCAUUUGGCCGGUGAUUUUGUUUCCAUACAAUCUUCCUCCUUGGUUGUGUAUGAAGCAAUCAAAUUUUAUCUUCUCAAUGAUCAUUUUAGGUCCACGCACAGUAGGGAAUAACAUAGAUGUAUAUCUGCAACCACUUAUUAAGGAGUUGAAUUAGCUAUGGUGUGAAGGUGUGGAUACUUUUGAUUCAUUAAAGAAUGAAAUGUUUAAAAUGCGAGCAACUCUUAUACGGACAGUUAGCGAUUUUUCUGGACUUGAUAUCUUAUCGGAUUGGAACACACAUACUGGUCUUGUAUGUCCUUUUUAUAAUUUUAAUGCAGAACCUUGUCGACUUCGUCAUAGUAGAAAAUGGUGUUUUAUUGGCCACCUUCGAUUCUUGUCAAGAAAUCAUAAAUUUAGACUGAUGAGACAUCGUUUUGAUGGAAAUGUGGAAGAGAGGACCCCUCCAAAGAAGUUGUCUGGGUCAGAAAGUUUGCAGCAGGUGAAAGAUAUCAAUGUCACAUUUGGAAGACAAUCAGAGUUGCAGAAAAAAAAAAGGAAAAAUAAUGUUGGGGAAGAUGCAACUCAACAAUGAAAGAAUAAAAGCAUAUUCUUUGAUCUUCCAUAUUGGGAGUUUUACCCGUUGCCCCAUAAUUUAGAUCCGAUGCAUAUGGAAAAGAAUGUUUUUGACAAUGUUAUAUUCACUUUGUUAAAUGAUAAAGAAAAGUCAAAGGAUCAUGUUAAGGCUCGAAAAGAUCUACAAGAUAUGGACAUAAGGAAUGAUCUUUAGGUCGAUGAGAAUGAUGAGUUUAAACUUGCUGCAUUUGUAAUUCCAAAGAACAAGAAAGUGGCCUUCCUCAAGACUUUAAAGAAUAUCUCAGUACCGGAUGGUUAUUCAAGUAAUAUAUCUCGUCGUAUUGAUUUGGAUCAAAAAAGAAUUUUUGGAUCAAAAAGCAAUGAUUGUCACAUUCUUAUGCAGCAGUUGUUACCCAUAGCAAUUCGCAAUGUGCUUCCAAGACAGGUUGUUGCAACUUUGGUCGAGUUUUCUUCCCUUUUUAGGCAACUUUGUUUGAAAAGUUUAAGUCUUGUAGACUUAGACAAGCUACAAAAUCGAAUUGUGGAAACUCUUUGUCAUUUAGAGAUUUUGUUUCCUCCAUCAUUUUUUACUGUAAUGAUUCAUCUAACUGUUCAUCUAGUUGAUGAGGUAAAAAAAGGUGGCCCGGUACAUUAUCGCUGGAUGUAUUUUGUUGAAAGGUAAAAUAUUCCUUAUUCAAAAUCAUUUUAGUUGAUUUUAUAGUAAUACUUCUAAGUUAAAACUUCUUCUUACAUAUUAAUGUUUUGGGUAUAGAUUGUUAGGACAUUUCAAGUCCCUUGUAGGUAACAAAGCACAACCAGAAGGUUCCAUAGCUGAAAGUUACAUAGUUGAAGAAGCUCUUACUCUUUAUUCUCGUUAUUUUAUGGAAAUUGAGUCAAUGUUAAAUCGACCUAAACGUGUAAAUGAUGAACCAAGUCAAAAUGAGGCUUAUGAAAAGUCAAGUAUGUUCCCUCAACAAGGUAAGCAUGUUGGAGGCUUCAUAGCAGAACCACUGACUCAUUUGAAGAAAACACAAGCUCAUCGAUAUGUGUUACUUAAUUGUGUGGCCGUGAAGCCAUUUAUUGAGUAAGAAAUUUACAUUGAUUUGAUUUAUAAGAUAUGUUUUGAGUAGUUUUAUUAAAUUUCUAACUAUGGUGCCUUUAUACUGAAUUUAGAGAUUACAUCAAAAGAAGUACAAGAGGCCGUAGACUUUUUGCAACAAAGGUAGAGAGAAGAGUUAGCAAAGAGUUCCAUGAUUGGUUUUCUAAGAGAGUGAGUGAAUGACAUUAAAAUAUUUAUUUUUGUAUAGAUUUUUAUAUCAAUUUAAAGUUUCUAAAAUAAAUGCUUUGUACAUUUAGAUUAUAAAUUCGGAUAUUGAAGAUACUAUCUCUGAUGAGAUGAAAUUCUUAGCACAAGGUCCAACCCGAGAUGCAAGAAGAUUCAGUGCUUAUAACAUUAGUGGAUUCAAAUUUUGAACUUUAUCUAGAUAAUAAGGAUUAAAAACUCAGAAUAGUGGAGUUUUUCUUGUCUCUAACACCUCUUGUGUUGCAUCUAGUGUAGAUAGACAUGCAACAAAAGCAGACCUGCCAUAUUAUGAAAAGUUGGAAGACAUUGUUGAGCUUAAUUAUUAUGGCAAGUGUAGGAUUGUUCUUUUCAAAUGUCAGUGGGUUGACACUACUCGGAACAGAGGGUUCAAAAUAGAUGCUUGAAAGUUUAAUUGUGUCAACUUUUCCAAAUUAAUUCAUACCGAUAAUCGUGCGGAUGAUGAUCCGUAUAUUGAAGCAUCACAAGAUAAUAUGGUCUCCUAUGUUGAUGAUGAAAAUGAUAAAGAAUGGAGUGUGGCUGUACAUCUAAAAUCAAGAGAUUUGUUUGACAUAGGAGAAAUUGAUAAAGAGGAAAUAUACGAGAAUGAGCCAUACCAACAACAAGAAUUUGGAAAAUUUUUGUAUGUUGAUUAUGAGAAUGUCCAAAUUGCAAUAGCGGAGCAUAUGACUUAAUAGAUAUAUCAUUAUUUUUUGCAGCUAGUGUUGUAAUGGUAGUCAUAUCCUUGUCUGUAGGGUAAAGAAGAUUUGGACAUGUGUUUGUCAUUUUAGUUAAGUGUCUCCGUAGUUUGAACAUAUCCUAUUUCAUAUGAUGUUAUUGCUUGCUGUUGUACUACCUUCUUAAUACUUAAAGUGCAUGUGUGCCAUUGCCUGUAAUCCUAUAGUACAUUUUGGAUUUACUGAAGAUAUAAUUCUUCGUGGGGCAUAUUGUUGUUAUAUAUGAACACCACACAUACUUAAUAUGAAAUCUUGUUCUUUGUAUUGUCAGCUUUGUCACUCAAUUGUUUGUUGAGUGUUUACAUUUAAUUGUUUUACUAACUCUUAUUGGAAU